CAAAGAGAAGCAAAGCCGCGAGGUAGAGCAAAUCUCAAAAAAACAAUCUCAGUUCAGACUGCAGGCUGCAACUCGCCUGCACGAAGUCGGAAUUGCUAGUAAUCGUAGGUCAGCAUACUACGGUGAAUACGUUCCCGGGCCUUGUACACACCGCCCGUCAAACCAUGAGAGUUGGCAACACCCGAAGUCGGUAGUCUAACCGCAAGGAGGACGCCGCCGAAGGUGGGGUUGACGAUUAGGGUUAAGUCGUAACAAGGUAAC
RNAcentral lists this ribosomal RNA (261 nucleotides) under uncultured bacterium. RNAcentral describes it as "partial 16S ribosomal RNA". It matches the Rfam family "Bacterial small subunit ribosomal RNA", at positions 1240 to 1500 of the family's 1533-position model. The record is from RNAcentral.